Long non-coding RNA from Zea mays, 2615 nucleotides. RefSeq lists it as uncharacterized. The transcript has 10 exons. Lineage: Eukaryota; Viridiplantae; Streptophyta; Magnoliopsida; Poales; Poaceae. The record is from RefSeq and is a predicted model, not a curated record.
UGAUGGCGGCAGACGUGGCAAUGGUUGGCGAUGGGGUAAACGACUCCCCAGCAUUGGCGGCGGCAGACGUGGGCAUGGCGAUCGGUGCUGGCACAGACGUGGCCAUCGAUGCUGCUGACAUCGUUCUAAUGAAGAGCAACCUUGAGGACGUCAUCACUGCCAUUGAUCUCUCGCACAAGACCCUCUCCAGGAUCCGGCUGAACUACGUGUGGGCACUGGGCUACGUCCUGGGCAUGCCGAUCGCCGCCAGCGUCUUGUUCCCUUUCACGGGCGUCGUCUGCCCAUCCAGCUCUACAAGAAAUCGCUGCACGUUGAAGACGCGCCCAGGCCCGGGGAGGACUCAAAUUUGGUGUGACUGCGAGUGAGUACUGAUCCCUCGAUCUCGAUGUGUACUAACGAGAGCAUGUUGGCGUCACUGAUGCUUAACGAGCCAACACCUGAUCGAUCUGUGUACAACAAGCAACACGUUUUGGAACAGUUCGCCAAUUGAUUGUGCAAUAAUUUAAGACAAGGUUUUCUCGGCUUUUGGGUAUGUUCAUAAAAUAGCCACCUUUGAAAAGGCUACAGGUUUUUAGGCAUUGAUCCAGUACACUGAUGCGGCUACUGCUUUAGCUGCUAGAGAAUCCUUAGAUGGAAGGAGCAUCCCAAGUUACUUGCUUCCGGAGCAUGUAACAUCCUGCUACCUGCGAAUUUCUUUUUCUGCACAUAAGGAUUUGAACAUCAAGUUUUAGUCGAUCCGCAGCAGUAUAGAGCAACUGGUAAAGGUUUCAGUUCGUCAGGUUGUCUCUUGCCUGCUCAUGGAUUCAGCAGGCAGUUCAAAAGGUUGACCUAUUUGGGAAUCUCUGGAUCUAUGCUUCAGUUACAAGAUCAACACAUCCACAAGCACCAGUUCAAGCUGAAAUGCUGGAAUGGACUCCACUGUCACAGCCAACAUGUGACUAAAUUUCCUCACUACAGUCUACACCCUGUAGUAGUAUUCUUACGGACGAAUCAAACCAAACAUCAACCCGGGAUCAGGUAGCAUGCCCGCUACUCUACCACCACUGAUCCAUAUCUUUCAGGUCAUUGUAUUGCUAUUCUGCAGGCCAUCGACUAGAACAAAGAUCUUUCUAGAGAAUUAUAUUGUUGAUUCAGAAAUUUCUCUUAUAGCCACUGUUAAUUUGGUGCGUGUUUCGUCUUUAUAUAUGUGCUUUUGGAGAAAGCUGAUAGGCUAAAUUGUUUGGGUUCUAGGCAGUAGCUAGAAAGAGACUUGGAAGCUGAGAAAAGCUGCUGCAAUAUAUUGCAAGAACUUAUCUCACGGCAUUUCAAACUCGCUCGCUUCUUUCUUUUCUACAUACAUUCAUAGUACAUUGAUAUGUGAUCCAAUUUAUAAAAUUUUAAGCGAAAUUUCUUGUGGAUGGUGACCACUACCAAGUCUGGAUCGUGAGUAGUACUUGGGAGAUACUAAUCAAUUGUUUGGUAUACUAAAAUAAUCUGUUGUGGUUCUAUGCAUUUAGAAUAUGCGUUCAUGAUUUUGUUUUUGAGGAUUGGAUGAUGUGUUGUUUACUAUCCUCGGGGCUACAUGGUGUGGACUGUGAAGGCCGGCCGAUGUACAUAGAGAGGCCAGGGAAGGUGUCCUGGAGUUUGAGAGAGCUUUUAGGGAGAGGUUCUCUGCCUGCACAUUAGCUGCUAAGAGGCAUAUUGACUCCACUACCAUCUUCGAUGUCCAAGGGGCUCACAUGGAUCAUCCCCGAGCGCAAGCAAACUUUGAGAUCGCGCCGAAAGCAUGCCAUCCCUGGAAUCCUUCAGUUGGGAGUAACAUUUAGUUCCACUCUGUGGUUUUUGCUCUCUAAAUAUAUUGCUUGUCAUACAUAUGUUUGCGAUCUCAUAGAUUUGGAUUUUGAGCAGUACCAGUUUAUUAUUUUUGUUAAUGCAAGCCUUGAAGCGUAUCAAACUCUAUGAACUGGUAUGAUUUGGAAGAUAGGAACUGUAACUUCUAUGUUGCAAAUAAUCUAUGAGGUGUGAGCUGCUAGAGGUAAAACUUGCUGAAAUAGUUAUGAUCUGAAAUAGUCAUGUAUCUUGUGAUAUUAACAAUUCCUCAUAGUAUUUGACUAUUUGUAUUGUAGCAACUGCUCCUUUUGCUUCGUGUAGUACUAAAUUUACUGUUGCUUGUUUAAAAGAAAAAAUUUAGGUUCCAUUUGCAAUAGUGGAUAUGUUUUCACUGUCUGAUGAAUGCUGUUGAGAUAUUUGGUUUUUCUUUUGUCAAACUCCAAUUAAUAUAUUUUCCUUGUAUUGUAUGAAUUGCGAUGUUCAGAAGCACAAAGAUAUUAGUAAAGCCGAGAAGGACAUCGUUCUCAGGCCAUCAAUGGCGCCGCGCUGCACCUCUUCAGCUUCGCCGAGGCCAUCAACAUCGGUCGCCCACCUAGAAACUCUUUAAGAUCAUAGACCUCCACGAUAGGCUCUCGAAGUCUCGGACCUCCUAUCCGACGUCUUUGGCUAUACCUAGCCUCAACAUCGAGAUGACGAUGUGAGGACUCUAGGUCAAUGUCUCUAGCGUUGUCCUAUCAUGAAAAGCAAAUUAUCACGAAAUGUUUUUAUGGAUUUUAUCUUCAUUAAUAAAGAUAAAAUUAUAGUUA